Molecule: ribosomal RNA, 254 nt
Filed under: uncultured Streptococcaceae bacterium
Lineage: Bacteria; Bacillati; Bacillota; Bacilli; Lactobacillales; Streptococcaceae
Description: partial 16S ribosomal RNA
Rfam family: Bacterial small subunit ribosomal RNA
Source: RNAcentral
UACGUAGGUUCCGAGCGUUGUCCGGAUUUAUUGGGCGUAAAGCGAGCGCAGGCGGUUAGAUAAGUCUGAAGUUAAAGGCUGUGGCUUAACCAUAGUACGCUUUGGAAACUGUUUAACUUGAGUGCAAGAGGGGAGAGUGGAAUUCCAUGUGUAGCGGUGAAAUGCGUAGAUAUAUGGAGGAACACCGGUGGCGAAAGCGGCUCUCUGGCUUGUAACUGACGCUGAGGCUCGAAAGCGUGGGGAGCAAACAGGAU